Long non-coding RNA from Pseudopipra pipra, 251 nucleotides. RefSeq lists it as uncharacterized. The record is from RefSeq and is a predicted model, not a curated record. NCBI's taxonomy places the organism in Eukaryota, Metazoa, Chordata, Aves, Passeriformes, Pipridae. The transcript is spliced from 2 exons.
CCUGGCAGACACUCACAUUCACACGCUCAGCCUCUGCUUCAGCUCUCAGUCCUCCUGGUGAGAGUCUCUUGCAGGUCAGAAAGAAAAGGGGGGCAUGAAGGCAAACUGCAGUGACCUCUUGUUUUGAUCAUGCUCUUGUUGAAGCCUCGUGCCAGUUCUGGCUGCUGGACCCUCCGACCCAACAGAGCACCGUGUGGGGAGAUUGGACCACAACCUCCAGUGAAUUCACAGCCACGUUAAACCACGUUAAA